Chenopodium quinoa (quinoa) is the source of this 1150-nucleotide RNA transcript. It is a transcript of the gene named photosynthetic NDH subunit of subcomplex B 5, chloroplastic-like, with no coding region annotated. The transcript is spliced from 6 exons. The record is from RefSeq and is a predicted model, not a curated record. Lineage: Eukaryota; Viridiplantae; Streptophyta; Magnoliopsida; Caryophyllales; Amaranthaceae.
AUAUACACCCUCCACCACUCUUAACAAUUGUUACUGAUCUGAAGACAAAAGCUAUGGCAGCUACUUGUACUUCUACUUGGCUACCUGCAACUGCAGCUGCAUCAGUGAUUUGCAGAUAUCCAUCAUCCAAAAUCAGCAUGAAUUUAACCCCAACACCUUAUCAUAGUAAUAAUAAGGUCUUGAUUAGCAGCAAUAAUCCAAGAGCAACAACAAGGUUGUCUACAAAGUUGAGAGCAGCCGGUUUAACGGAUAUCGAACCCGACCUCAAUGAAGAUCCUGGUGACCGGUGGGCUACGAAUGGAGUUGAUGCUGAAGAUUUUAUAUAUGGAGAAUAUGAUGGACAUCAUACAUAUUUUGAAACUUCAGAGAAAGGAACAUUUUGGGGAGCAGUGGCUGAAGAAUAUAAUUCCAUGGAACCACCUACUGGUUUCCAAGGUCUUAUAUCGUGGCUGUUCCUUCCAGCAGUUGCUGCUGGGAUGUAUUUCAAUGUUCCGGGGGAGUAUCUGUACAUCGGAGCAGGUCUAUUUACAAUCGUAUUUUGCAUAAUUGAGAUGGAUAAACCAGACAAACCUCACAACUUUGAGCCCCAAAUAUACAACAUGGAGAGAGGAGCUCGUGACAAGUUGAUCGCUGAUUAUAAUACUAUGGACAUUUGGGACUUUAAUGAAAAAUACGGAGAACUCUGGGAUUUUACUUUGAAGAACGAUGCUAUAGCAAAGAGAUAAUUAUCAGGAAAUAGCCUUGGUUUGGGAUUUUCCCAACUGGCAUUCACAGUUGAAUCAGCCAUUAUUGUUGAUUGUUGUGGAUAUGCUUUCGGGAAUAUUGAAUGAAAGAAAAUGCUACGAGUAGUUGACUGGGGGAUGGCAAUCUAGUUUUCUGAGUAGCAGGCCUUUAUCUUGAUUCUCUGACUCUAAGGUGAAGCAGACACUCUGUGUAUUAAUGUGGCGUUCAUUGUUCAUAUGUAGCUAGAAUAUUUAGCUUCCUUAGUCUUGAAAUUGUUUGGUUGAUCCUGAGGUACAAUGGCAUUAUAAUGUCAUCCUGGCAAACUAUUAUUGUUUAGCUUCUGUGACUUUUGAACUAAGCAGACCGAAUUCUAAUUUUCAGGUUACCAUAUCAGUCAUCAACAUAAUGACACAAUCUUACUUAUACG